Momordica charantia (bitter melon) is the source of this 536-nucleotide non-coding RNA. Lineage: Eukaryota; Viridiplantae; Streptophyta; Magnoliopsida; Cucurbitales; Cucurbitaceae. The record is from RefSeq and is a predicted model, not a curated record.
GGGUUCAUUUGACAAAAUUUGUAAUUUAUUAUUGUUUUUCUGUCAAUUUUCCAAUUAGGGCUCCAUUCGAGUGCGAAUUAAGCUCGCUGUUUCUCCCGCCAACGGAAGCGCUUCCCAAUUCUGCAGUUCAUAGCACUCAUAUAAUCUUAAUCUUUCAACUGUUCAAUUCCCCUUUAUCUUUUACCCUCAUUUCUUUCGAUUUCGAAGCUUCUUGAAGAGGAAAACGAUCGGAACCGGCACCGGCACUGGCAACGGAGCUUCAGUAGAUUCAUUCUACAGAUGGCUUAUUGUCUAAAACAACUGAAGCUGUUCUUCUACAUAUCAUCAUAGGGCCCCAAUUGGUAGAAGAAAACCCGCAACCCCUUGGGGUUGAUUUGUGAACAGUGGUUUCAAGUGUACAAAAAUGAAAACAGAGGAGUUGUUUUGAUUGAAAACAGUUUCCAAGUAGCAAGUCCUUAGCCUUUCGGCCACUUUGUGCUUCCAAUAAGAGAUGCCAGGAAUACUGAAGUUUGAAUAAAACUUAUCUUUCCGGUCAA